GACAGAGGGUGCAAACGUUGCUCGGAAUUACUGGGCGUAAAGCGCGUGUAGGCGGACCUGCAAGUCGGACGUGAAAGCCCUGGGCUCAACCCAGGAACUGCAUCCGAAACUGCGGGCCUGGAGUGGUGGAGAGGGAAGCAGAAUUCCUGGUGUAGAGGUGAAAUUCGUAGAUAUCAGGAGGAACACCUGUGGCGAAAGCGGCUCACUGGACCAUAACUGACGCUGAUGCACGAAAGCUAGGGGAGCAAACAGG
This 253-nucleotide ribosomal RNA is filed under the name uncultured bacterium. Its description in RNAcentral is "partial 16S ribosomal RNA". It matches the Rfam family "Bacterial small subunit ribosomal RNA", at positions 524 to 776 of the family's 1533-position model. The record is from RNAcentral.